RNAcentral lists this ribosomal RNA (510 nucleotides) under Candida albicans. Its description in RNAcentral is "eukaryotic LSU rRNA". The stretch from base 143 to 296 matches the Rfam family "5.8S ribosomal RNA". Lineage: Eukaryota; Fungi; Ascomycota; Pichiomycetes; Serinales; Debaryomycetaceae. The record is from RNAcentral.
CGAUCCUGAUUGCUUAUUGCACCACAUGUGUUUUUCUUUGAAACAAACUUGCUUUGGCGGUGGGCCCAGCCUGCCGCCAGAGGUCUAAACUUGCAACCAAUUUUUUAUCAACUUGUCACACCAGAUUAUUACUAAUAGUCAAAACUUUCAACAACGGAUCUCUUGGUUCUCGCAUCGAUGAAGAACGCAGCGAAAUGCGAUACGUAAUAUGAAUUGCAGAUAUUCGUGAAUCAUCGAAUUUUUGAACGCACAUUGCGCCCUCUGGUAUUCCGGAGGGCAUGCCUGUUUGAGCGUCGUUUCUCCCUCAAACCGCUGGGUUUGGUGUUGAGCAAUACGACUUGGGUUUGCUUGAAAGACGGUAGUGGUAAGGCGGGAUCGCUUUGACAAUGGCUUAGGUCUAACCAAAAACAUUGCUUGCGGCGGUAACGUCUACCACGUAUAUCUUCAAACUUUGACCUCAAAUCAGGUAGGACUACCCGCUGAACUUAAGCAUAUCAAUAGCCGGAGGAA